RNAcentral lists this ribosomal RNA (421 nucleotides) under uncultured bacterium. Its description in RNAcentral is "bacterial SSU rRNA". It matches the Rfam family "Bacterial small subunit ribosomal RNA", at positions 356 to 774 of the family's 1533-position model. The record is from RNAcentral.
AAGGAAUAUUGGGCAAUGCCCGCAAGGGUGACCCAGCAACGCCGCGUGGAGGAUGAAUGUCGUAAGAUUGUAAACUCCUGUUAGAGGGGAAGAAUAGUACCGGUUGGACCGGUAUAUGACUGUACCCUCAGAGAAAGCCCCGGCUAACUACGUGCCAGCAGCCGCGGUAAUACGUAGGGGGCAAGCGUUGUUCGGAGUUACUGGGCGUAAAGAGUGCGUAGGCGGUUUUCUAAGUUCGGUGUGAAAUCUCCCGGCUUAACUGGGAGGGUGCGCCGAAGACUGGGAAGCUGGAGUGUGGGAAAGGCAGGCGGAAUUCCUGGUGUAGCGGUGAAAUGCGUAGAUAUCAGGAGGAACACCGGCGGUGUAGACGGCUUGCUAGACCAUAACUGACGCUGAGGCACGAAAGCGUGGGUAGCAAACA